Molecule: long non-coding RNA, 1880 nt
Organism: Pan troglodytes (chimpanzee)
Lineage: Eukaryota; Metazoa; Chordata; Mammalia; Primates; Hominidae
Exons: 3
Source: RefSeq, a predicted model, not a curated record
GCGCCUCUCCCGCCACACCUGCCUGCAAGCUGAGGGAGCCGGCUCCGGCCUUGGCCAGGCUAGAAAGGGGCUCCCACAGUGCAGGGGCGGGCUGAAGGGCUCCUCAAGUGCCGCCAAAGUGGGAGUCCAGGCAGAGGAGGUGCCGAGAGCGAGCGAGGGCUGCGAGGACUGCCAGCAGCUGUCACCUCUCGUUACCAUCACUCCUAGUGACCAUUUUGGAUAAUCCACCUUGCCUCAUCAAACCAGAAAACAAUUCAAACCUGUCCUCCUUCUAACUGGAAGCCACAUUUUAAGAACUUAUUGUGAAGAACUGGAAAGCCUCCAAUAGAACAGAAGCUAAAAGCAGAAAUUAUAAAAGCUGUUACACCUACUCAGCUCUAUUACAUGUUGGAAAAACUGAACCAGAGAAACAAUUACAUACACUCUGUCUUCUGGAAAAGCUGAAUUGGGUUUUAGUCUGAAUCAAUAGGUGAGUUCUCAGUCUUCCCACCUUUUUUCUUUUUUUCUUUUUUAUCAUGUCCUACGACCUAAUGCCAGAAAGAAAAAAUAAUUUUAGCCUGAUUAUGAAAGCUUGUAUAAUAAGUAAACUCUCAGUAACUGGAAGUGUAUGAAUCGGGUAUGGAUGAUGAUGACUAGCAACUUCGUUUAGAGGGAAUUCAAACAUCAGGAGGCUGAUUGGGUUUUGUGAUCUGUAGUGUGAUAACCAAUGCUGAGUUUCUUUUAUUCUUUAAAAUCAUAAAGUAAAUUUUCCUUAUGUCUUACCAUGUUCCAGUUAUCAAUAAAGAGUAACAAAUGAUUUUGGUCAGAACCAAAACUUAUUGAUGUAAAACAAUAAUUUUAUUAUACUUGUGAAUUCUGUGGAUGAGGUAAUUUAAACAUGGCAUAGGGGACAUGGCUUUUAUCUUCUCCACAAUUUCUGCUCCACAAUUUCAGCUGUCUCGAUAAAAUAAAAACAAAAGAUUAAUAAUAUUCUGUGAUCACAAUGCAAGGAAAUAGAAACUAAAUCAAAAUAAAUAAUCAAAUCCCCAUCCAAAAUGUCUGCAAUUUUAACUCUCUGUGAAAGAACACUUAGACAAAAAGAGAAAAGAGCCCUGAAGUUACAGAAUUUUUAGAACAUACUUUUAAUGAAAAUACUAUAUAUCAAAAUAUAUAAUUAAAGCAAUUAUUUAAAUACAAUACAUAGCCUUACAUAAUUAUUUUAAUAAAAAUGAUAAGAUAAUAUUUUCUAACACAAAAGUUUGAAAAGGAACUUUAAAUUAAACAAAAGAAAGGACAAAGAGCAAAAUUAUACAGAUAGAAGCCGAAAUUAAUCAGGUAGAAAUUAGUAAAACAGCAAAAAUAGUGAUGGUUCAUAAAAAUAUCCAGCAAAGUAAACAACUAGCUAACUUAAUUUGAAAAAAAAAAAAAAAAGCAAGCACAAAUAUACAAAAUAAGAGGUAAUGAGUGGGAAAUAAUCAUUGAAACACAUGCAUCAGCACUAAUACACCUGUACUGUCAGUAUGAGUAUUUUUAAAAUUCAAAAUCUGAAACACUUCUGGUCUCAAGCAUUUUAGGUAAUGGAUACUCAAGUUGAUGACACCUUCUCCUUGUAUUCUUACAAGGGGUCUCUCCUGGAUCUGUUUUAUAAGGCCACUAAUUUUAUCUAUAAGGCCUCCACCCUCAUGUCCUAAUCACCUCCUAAAGGCCCUACUUCCUAAUACCAUCGUCUUGGGGUUUGGAAUUUUAACAUGUGAAUUGGAGUGGGACACAAACAUUCAGACCAUGGCAAGUUCAAAACUAGUUAUUGAAAAUAUGCAAAUGAUAAACAUGGCUCAGUCCAAUAAAGCUUUAAGUAUAGGCACUAAAAAUUUAAUUUCUUAAUAAAGCUUUUUAUAUGUCCC